UGCGAGCGUAGUUCAACGGUAGAACAAUGCCCUUUGAUUGCUAACUAACCAGAUAUUUAGAGAUGCAGGUUCGACUCCUGCCGCUCGCAU
RNAcentral lists this transfer RNA (90 nucleotides) under Lactiplantibacillus plantarum. RNAcentral describes it as "Lactobacillus plantarum tRNA-???(ttga)". It matches the Rfam family "tRNA". From Rfam's summary of the family: Transfer RNA (tRNA) molecules are approximately 80 nucleotides in length. Their secondary structure includes four short double-helical elements and three loops (D, anti-codon, and T loops). Further hydrogen bonds mediate the characteristic L-shaped molecular structure. tRNAs have two regions of fundamental functional importance: the anti-codon, which is responsible for specific mRNA codon recognition, and the 3' end, to which the tRNAs corresponding amino acid is attached (by aminoacyl-tRNA synthetases). tRNAs cope with the degeneracy of the genetic code in two manners: having more than one tRNA (with a specific anti-codon) for a particular amino acid; and 'wobble' base-pairing, i.e. permitting non-standard base-pairing at the 3rd anti-codon position. The record is from RNAcentral. Lineage: Bacteria; Bacillati; Bacillota; Bacilli; Lactobacillales; Lactobacillaceae.